Molecule: unclassified non-coding RNA, 577 nt
Filed under: Hevea brasiliensis (rubber tree)
Lineage: Eukaryota; Viridiplantae; Streptophyta; Magnoliopsida; Malpighiales; Euphorbiaceae
Source: RNAcentral
AGAGAGAGAGAGAGAGAGAGUAAUCAAGAGAGGGGCUGAACGCAGAGGUACUGGAUCUACUCCAUGUUUCAAAUCAAUAGCGUGUUAUCGUCAAGAUUUUCAGACUUCAAACAGCACACUAUACUCCCACCCCGCCCUUUCAAAGUUUAAAAAGAAUAUCCAACAUAUGAAUAUUCAUCAAUAUAAAGAAGAGGGGGGAAAAUAAUAUUAAAAGAAAAUGACUUGCGUCCUUAUGAUUUUGAAAAAGAUGAGAAAGCCAAAUAUAUUGACAAUCUAUCUGUGUGAUUUGGUUGCGUAGUGCUACACAUAUAUUAACAUACGAAAAAUUAUCAGCAUUCUGAGAAACUCAUUUGAAAUUGGCUUGGAAUUUAUAAGUAUGUGUUUUUGUUUUAUAUAUGCAUUUCAAUCAAAACUCUCUCUCUCUCUCUCUCCAUGUACCCAUGUGUACAUAUUGAGAAGCUAUCAGCAGAUGCACCUUUUGUCGCAAGGAAUAACAAACAGCUCCAAAGCAAGGAAACUCAUUAACCAAUGGCUUAAAGAUCAACCUGAAAACCCCAGUAAAUCCAAUAUCUUUCAC